Molecule: long non-coding RNA, 1431 nt
Organism: Athene cunicularia (burrowing owl)
Lineage: Eukaryota; Metazoa; Chordata; Aves; Strigiformes; Strigidae
Exons: 2
Source: RefSeq, a predicted model, not a curated record
CAAUCAGUCCUGCCAACAGAAAGACGGAGAAAGAGGUGUGCAUACAUGGGGGAAAAAAAACAUGAAGUACUUAGUAUCAGUUCUGCACUUACUUGUUAGGAAAUAGUACCAAUAUUUCAAUGUUUUGCUUGACAGCUUUUUCUGCCAGUAGCAUUUUUUGUUUGUUGUUUUUAAUAACUGUACAAGGUCAUUGCAGCACAUGCUCUGACAAAAGACUGCAUAGUGCUUGGAUAGUGUUUCUUUGUACCUAUUGUAAUUUAUUAGUUCUCAAAGUGUUCUUUCACUGAUAUCUGUAUCUUUGGAAAGAAUGCGUUUUUAUUUUGGUUUGUGUUCUUACAUUUCUUAUGUCUUUCCCUUUACUUUGAAAAACAAACAAAAUAAAUAGAACCUAUAGCCAUAUUAGAUCAGGCAAUACCCAGAAGAGAUCAGAUUCUUGUUUGUACUUUACAAAAAAGAAAAUGUAUGCAUAAUAAUAUAUUUCGUGUUAUUUUUGGUAAAUUUCCUCUUACAGAAGAUAUUUUUAAGUAAAAUAUGUAUGAUCUUUUUAUGGUAAUUAAGAUAUGUUGGGCUUUCUUAAAACUCAAAUUCCAGUGGAAUUAAAUUAUGAAUGUAAAUGAGAAAAACCCAAGCCUAGUCAUGAAAGUGUAAGCAGUUUCAGAUUAUAAAUUAUGCUUAAAAAUGUGGUAUCUGACCAUUUUGUAUUUAUAUGUAAAUAUAAAUACAUGUUGCUGCAUCACUAAUGGCAUUAAAAAGGGGGUGACUUAAGUGUCGGAUGUCUGAAAACUCUGCCUCUGUGGGCGGGCGUUCACUAGGGUUGCAGCAGUGAUGCAGCCCUGAAGAAACGUACGGGUGAACGGGAGCAGUCCCUGUUCCUGCGCAGGAGCCAGAGCAGGGGAAGGACACUGAGUCCUCGUUGGCAUCCCACGGCUUCUGGAGCAUGUAAGCACUGGAUGGAAAUCCUGGCGUCUUGCAUGAAAUACCAGGAAAUGUGCCUUAUAUGAACACUUUGAGGGAGUAGAAGUUGCAGGCUGGCUUCCCUGCUGCAGAGGCACAAAACAGUAGCGAGCAUCCUGAUGGAGCAGAGUUUUCCCUCCCCGUAGACUUCUGUUAUAUUGUUAAUCUCCAACGUCUCGCCUCCUUUCUCCACGGAAGCACAGAAGCUUUUUAAUUCUUACCCGUCUAGACUAGGAGUGCCCCCAUUGAACAGAUCACUGUAGGAACACAAUUCUGAUAUAGUGCACACUGAUUUUUCAAGCCAGGAAAAUGAUCCUUCACUAGUGGGAAGACAUGAAUGUAACGGGGAUGGGAGGCAGAAAAGAGAAGAAAGAUUUUUUUCAUAGCUUUGAAACUGCCAGGGCUUAAACAGGGUAUGUCCAUGUUCUUUCCACUACCACCCCCAAGCAAACAGAAGGUAUGAACUGUCUUUUUUUU